RNAcentral lists this ribosomal RNA (253 nucleotides) under uncultured bacterium. Its description in RNAcentral is "partial 16S ribosomal RNA". It matches the Rfam family "Bacterial small subunit ribosomal RNA", at positions 524 to 776 of the family's 1533-position model. The record is from RNAcentral.
UACGUAGGGUGCAAGCGUUGUCCGGAAUUAUUGGGCGUAAAGAGCUCGUAGGCGGUCUGUCGCGUCUGCUGUGAAAUCUCAGGGCUUAACCCUGAGCGUGCAGUGGGUACGGGCAGACUAGAGUGUGGUAGGGGAGACUGGAAUUCCUGGUGUAGCGGUGAAAUGCGCAGAUAUCAGGAGGAACACCGAUGGCGAAGGCAGGUCUCUGGGCCACUACUGACGCUGAGAAGCGAAAGCAUGGGGAGCGAACAGG